CCUACGGGUUGCACCAGUGGGGAAUAUUGGACAAUGGGCGAAAGCCUGAUCCAGCAAUGCCGCGUGAGUGAUGAAGGCCUUAGGGUUGUAAAGCUCUUUUACCAGGGAUGAUAAUGACAGUACCUGGAGAAUAAGCUCCGGCUAACUCCGUGCCAGCAGCCGCGGUAAUACGGAGGGAGCUAACGUUGUACGGAAUUACUGGGCGUAAAGCGCGCGUAGGCGGCUUUUCAAGUCAGGGGUGAAAUCCCGGGGCUCAACCCCGGAACUGCCCUUGAAACUGGAUGGCUAGAAUACUGGAGAGGUGAGUGGAAUUCCGAGUGUAGAGGUGAAAUUCGUAGAUAUUCGGAAGAACACCAGUGGCGAAGGCGACUCACUGGACAGUUAUUGACGCUGAGGUGCGAGAGCGUGGGGAGCAAACAGGAUUAGAUACCCGGGUAGUC
This 440-nucleotide ribosomal RNA is filed under the name uncultured bacterium. Its description in RNAcentral is "bacterial SSU rRNA". It matches the Rfam family "Bacterial small subunit ribosomal RNA", at positions 338 to 795 of the family's 1533-position model. The record is from RNAcentral.